RNAcentral lists this ribosomal RNA (780 nucleotides) under uncultured bacterium. Its description in RNAcentral is "bacterial SSU rRNA". It matches the Rfam family "Bacterial small subunit ribosomal RNA", at positions 8 to 796 of the family's 1533-position model. The record is from RNAcentral.
AGAGUUUGAUCCUGGCUCAGAGCGAACGCUGGCGGCGUGCUUAACACAUGCAAGUCGAGUGCGCGGUAGCAAUACUGGCGCACGGCGCACGGGUGCGUAACACGUGGGUAAUCUACCCUCGAGUGGGGAAUAACCCGCCGAAAGGCGGGCUAAUACCGCAUGACAUUCCGCGGACUUCGGUCUGGGGAAUCAAAGUCCGCAAGGACGCUUGAGGAGGAGCCCGCGGCCGAUUAGCUAGUUGGCGGGGUAACGGCCCACCAAGGCAAUGAUCGGUAGCUGGUCUGAGAGGACGGCCGGCCACACUGGAACUGAGACACGGUCCAGACUCCUACGGGAGGCAGCAGUGGGGAAUCUUGCGCAAUGGGCGAAAGCCUGACGCAGCGACGCCGCGUGGGGGACGAAGCCCUUCGGGGUGUAAACCCCUUUCGACCCGGACGAAGUCCCGCAAGGGACGGACGGUACGGGAUGAAGAAGCCCCGGCUAACUACGUGCCAGCAGCCGCGGUAAGACGUAGGGGGCCAGCGUUGCUCGGAAUGACUGGGCGUAAAGAGUCUGUAGGCGGUGCGGCAAGUCGGGAGUGAAAUCUCAGGGCUUAACUCUGAGUCUGCUUUCGAAACUGCCGUGCUCGAGUGUGGGAGAGGUGAGUGGAAUUGCAGGUGUAGCGGUGAAAUGCGUAGAUAUCUGCAGGAACACCAGAGGCGAAGGCGGCUCACUGGACCACAACUGACGCUGAGAGACGAAAGCUAGGGGAGCAAACAGGAUUAGAUACCCCCGUAGUCC